Molecule: non-coding RNA, 4140 nt
Organism: Triticum urartu
Lineage: Eukaryota; Viridiplantae; Streptophyta; Magnoliopsida; Poales; Poaceae
Source: RefSeq, a predicted model, not a curated record
GUCUCUCUCUCGCAUCUCUCUCGCGUUGAAGCCGCCGCCCCCUCCCCUUCUCUCGCGUUGAAGCCACUGCCCUACCCCGUCUCGUCGCGCCGCCGCCCCCUCCCCCUUCUCCUCGCGUCGCUGCCCCCUCCCCCUCGCGCCGCCGCCCUCAGAGAAGCACCGCGGCGGCUGCUGCUCCUUGUCGCCGCUCCUCACCCACCCACCGCGGCCGCCUCCUCCCUCGGAACCCUAGCCAACCGCACGCAACCCAUGGCGUCGCCCAGCUCGCCGCCCCUUCAAACUCUAGACCCGCCCGUGCCUCCCUGCCCCGCCGCCGUGCAGUUCCAGCCCCUGCCCCGUCGAGCGGCUCAUGGCGGUGUCGGAUCCGGUGUCGGGGUCGAGGCGCGCUGCCCGUGCGUGUGGAGAGGCACCCGGACCUGGUCCAAGACUCGCACCACGGCAUGCUCGCCGCCGUCCUCGUCAGGGUCGCCGGCAAGGCGCCAUGGUGGCUGCUCGUUCCCCUGCUGCCUCUCGCAUGUUGACGCCGCCCCAAUCCGAGCUCGAGCUAUAGAGGCGUGCCGCUAGGUCCCCUCUUUCUUCCAGUCUUUCCGCCGGAUCUACUGAUGCACUCGUCGAUCUCUAGAUUGGUCCUCUGUGGCUCAAUCCCCUGGUCGAUGCCUCCUUCGAUCUAUGGGUGCUCAUCUCUGGUUACUGAUCUGCAGGUCAACCCUUCUUCUCCCCCUCCUUUAUGCUCCCCUUCUUUUCCAGAGCUAGGUACACGGUUGUAUGGUGAUAUGCUGGUUGUGCAUAGGCUGGAGAAUAAGAUCCUUCUAUUUCUUGUCUUGUUUCUGAUACAACCAAAAGUAUCAUUCACUUUGUGCACUGGCUUUUUUUGUGGUUGCCUUGCCUUUUGUCCCUUCCUGGUAGGGCGACACUUGUUCUUUUGUGCAUGGAAUGUUGAUGUUUUUGUUCUUUUGUGUAUGGAUAAGAGUAUUUGGGGCUUGGCUUAAUUAGGAAGGAAAUUCUAUGUGGAUAAAUUGUUACUUGGCCAGUUCUGUUGUUGGCCUCAUGUUAGAUAAAUUUCAGGUUUCGUGCUCGCUUUAUGAGCUUGGGAGAUGGUCACCUGUUCGUUUUUUUUUUUACUUUCUGCACUGCUCGAUAAAUCAAUGACUUUUGAUUCAAUAUCUGGCCUAGGUAGCUGUUCAUCUUGCAUCCAUCUGUGUGUAGCUGAAGAAUGUUGGUUCCGUCCAUCUUGAGGUCGUACUUCCCAUUUUCAGGGUCGUACUUCCCAUUACAGGCCGACGAUACGGCAGAUUCGGUUAGUGGGAAGAUCGUCCAAAAGAACAUCUGACGAGCUGACGCAAAGAGGUCUGAACCAUCUGUUCCUGUUAUUGCCCCAGUGAGUGUGGGCAAGAAAGGCGGGAAGAAGUAAUCCCUUCUGUUAGGACAAAACUCAGUAUUCUGGUGACAUAAAACUUUUGCAGACGGUUAAUGUAGAUAGACGGUCUUUUAUCAAAAUGCCUGUACUAGCGAUUCCCCUGCUUGCGCUCGGGCUCCUAGGCACUUACCGCCAAAUCACUUGGUUGCUUCUGGGCGACGAUGGUUGCUAUCAAGACCAUCUCGCUUUCCAUCCGGACUAUCGGGCUAUGUAGAUAGAGACUGGCAUUUAGUCAGAGGUGCGCACCUUAUAAGUGCAUGUCCUUGACUUGGCGGAAGGAGGUGAAACAAGUUCAUCCAAUGAUGUGUAACAUCCUUUGGAGUGCUUUGGGCCCUCGCGUUUCAGUUUCACAGAGAUUUCCGUGUGCAGAGGGUCACGAAGACUUUGUUGCCUUGCCUAUUUUGCAUGUACUUGUGUAGACAAGCUGAACCUGCUGAUGACUUUAUUGCCUUGCCUAUUUAGCAUGUACUUGGUGGAUAUCGAUGACUUUUAUCAAUUUGUGGCUCGGCGGUACCAUUGUAUCAAAUCAUGGAGUGCUUUGGGCCCUCGCAUGAUGUGCAACAUCCUUUGGAGUGCUUUGGGCCCUUGCAUGUACUUGCAAAUAGAUUUGACUUUAUUGCCUCGCCUUGAUACAAUGGUACUAUAGAUUUGACUCAGGCAAUAAAUUUGUGGGAUUCGGAAACAGUGUGCAUUACAAUUGUAUCAAAUCUAUUGGCAUUUGUCAUUAUGCUUAUUGAUAUAUCUCCUUCCUCCUUGAACUAUUAUUGCAGCUGCUCGUGGCCAGGGGCGUAAUGUACGUGGAGGUGUUCAAUAGAGGGGUCAUUAUGCCGCCCUACAGCAUCAGGAAGAGGAACAGCAGGACCGGGCUGCCCUUCACCUAUUACGACGGCAUCUACCUGAACUCAGUUAACCUGAACUCCAUAACUGAAGCUAUGUUUAUUCUGUGCCUUUGAAGAUGUACAUCAGUGCGCAGGCGGACUGGUCUUCCUGUUCGUACUCCUAGAUUGCAUAUCUGAACUUGGCCAAGAAUGGACCCCAUGCUUCUCUUGCCUCAGAAGCAUGUUCAUAUGAAGCAAAUAAAAGCAUGCAGUGCUUUACAAUUUGAGCCGUCGCCCCUCCGGCCUGCCCGCCGGCGGCACACUGCUCUUCCGGCCGCCCCUGAGCCCACGCGGCUUGCCGGAUCAUGCGCCGCCCCUGAGCUGCGCGCAGCUCUCCGGACCAAUUCGUGCCACCCACGCCAACCUGAGAUCCGCCUCUGUAGGACGUGAUGGCCAGAUCGCCGCGAGCCCCUACCCUGACCCCAAGGUCGUCGGCAGCGUCAAUCCCGGCGGCCAGGUCAUCGUCACCCCAACCUCGACGCCCAGGUCAGCAGAAGGUACAGUGGAUUGCUGGUACAUUUGUUGUCUGAAGGCCCAAAGUUUUUAAAUCUAACUGAAACCAAAGCCUUGUGAUUUAUCCAACUGAAGAUCCAAAGCUUGUAGUUAAAAUGAUAGCUAGGUGGUACAAUGACCGACAUCGUGUGUACCUCAUUCAUGUGGAUACUAAAAUGUGCUCUCAUCCGCUAUUUUGCUAGGACUUCUUUGUUCUCUUUCUUAAUGCAGCCGUUGAUAAGAUAAUUUCUGUAAUGUUGUAAGACCAUAGAGAACAUAUGUUUCAUAGUUAAUAGAAUUGAGAACAUCGUACAUUGUACACCCUGUGACGUUAACAAAGAUGUUCUCAAUUCUCCUUAAUUUGGUCUGCCUAAGCCACAGAAAAUGUGUCCACUGCCUAAUUGGGUGUUUAGUAAUUCAUUUUUAGAGAGUGUGGAUUUUGUUUCAUAACGGUUAGUAAAACCAGUAGCAUCGUGGAUCAUUUUGGUACUGCUAAAAUUUGGUCUUCCAUAAGAGAAUGGUUUGUGAACAACAUUUUAUUUUGAUGGAUCUAUGGAAUUGAUUUUAACAACAUUGUGGACAUGAACUGUUGUAUGAAAGGCUUAGUAUUGGUUGCCUAUUCUGACCAGCAAAAAGAUUGUACAAUGUACUAAUAAAGGGAAAACAUCCGAUCAACAAUCAAAAGUGACUCGUGACAAAGUUUUGGAUUUGCAGCUGUCUCCUACUAUGCAGAUCUAUUUGAAACAUUACAAACCCCAACAUUGGUCUUUCCAUUAACUGUUUCAGUAACACCCAGACUUGGUACUGGUCAUUACAUGAAACAAAGAAGUGUUGAUCGUAUUGUAUAUUGCAGAAGGUAGAUGAAGUAAGUGAUGUGGCCUAUUUUCUCACUACUUAUUUGCUAUUGACUUAACCAUCAUCCUAUGCCUUCAUGUUUGUUAGGGUUCAUAUUUUAUUGCAUUAACUAAAGCAUGAUGUUUUGUUAUUUUACUCCCUCUGUUCAUUUUUAUAUGGUGUGGAUGGAAGAGUGAGAAUAACUACAGGUUGGUCAAAGAUUGAAAGAAAUCGCUUAUGUGUCUUUGGCUUCGACACUGCGCAUAGGAAGUCGUCGCUGAUAAUCCAAACUUUGAAAAGGUUCAUGUGUUGUGGCGUAUGAAAGGUUGGAAGUCAAGACGAUCAGGUAGAUCUAUCCAAAAAAUAUGCUUCUGUGAAAGUAGAUAGUUUUUUUGUUCUUGCGUUGUCACUGUGGCUUGAUUUUGCUGCAUGAAAAGUACGUUGUCUGUAUCAAACUUGAUUGAUGUGGAUUGAUCGACCGAUCUCUCGCUUUUGUAAAGUAUAUAUUUCCAUUCCCUA